This 253-nucleotide ribosomal RNA is filed under the name uncultured bacterium. RNAcentral's name for it is "partial 16S ribosomal RNA". It matches the Rfam family "Bacterial small subunit ribosomal RNA", at positions 524 to 776 of the family's 1533-position model. The record is from RNAcentral.
UACGUAGGGUGCGAGCGUUAAUCGGAAUUACUGGGCGUAAAGCGUGCGCAGGCGGUUUUUUCAGCCAGAUGUGAAAUCCCCGGGCUUAACCUGGGAAUGGCAUUUGGGACUGCAAGGCUUGAGUGCGGCAGAGGAGACUGGAAUUCCUGGUGUAGCAGUGAAAUGCGUAGAUAUCAGGAGGAACACCGAUGGCGAAGGCAGGUCUCUGGGCUGACACUGACGCUCAUGCACGAAAGCGUGGGGAGCAAACAGG